UUUGUGGAGAGUUUGAUCCUGGCUCAGGACGAACGCUGGCGGCGUGCUUAACACAUGCAAGUCGAACGGAAAGGCCUCAGCUUGCUGGGGUACUCGAGUGGCGAACGGGUGAGUAACACGUGGGUGAUCUGCCUUGCACUCUGGGAUAAGCUUGGGAAACUGGGUCUAAUACCGGAUAUGAACUGCCUUUAGUGUGGUGGUUGGAAAGUUUUUUCGGUGCAAGAUGAGCUCGCGGCCUAUCAGCUUGUUGGUGGGGUAAUGGCCUACCAAGGCGUCGACGGGUAGCCGGCCUGAGAGGGUGUACGGCCACAUUGGGACUGAGAUACGGCCCAGACUCCUACGGGAGGCAGCAGUGGGGAAUAUUGCACAAUGGGCGGAAGCCUGAUGCAGCGACGCCGCGUGGGGGAUGACGGCCUUCGGGUUGUAAACUCCUUUCGACAGGGACGAAGCGUUAUGUGACGGUACCUGUAUAAGAAGCACCGGCUAACUACGUGCCAGCAGCCGCGGUAAUACGUAGGGUGCGAGCGUUGUCCGGAAUUACUGGGCGUAAAGAGCUCGUAGGUGGUUUGUCGCGUCGUCUGUGAAAUUCCGGGGCUUAACUUCGGGCGUGCAGGCGAUACGGGCAUAACUUGAGUGCUGUAGGGGAGACUGGAAUUCCUGGUGUAGCGGUGAAAUGCGCAGAUAUCAGGAGGAACACCGAUGGCGAAGGCAGGUCUCUGGGCAGUUACUGACGCUGAGGAGCGAAAGCAUGGGUAGCAAACAGGAUUAGAUACCCUGGUAGUCCAUGCCGUAAACGGUGGGCGCUAGGUGUAGGGGGCUUCCACGUCUUCUGUGCCGUAGCUAACGCAUUAAGCGCCCCGCCUGGGGAGUACGGCCGCAAGGCUAAAACUCAAAGGAAUUGACGGGGGCCCGCUGGGGUUGCCCGCAAAUCGUGGACACGUAGUGGAGCUACCUAGUGGUUAGGCAGCUAUUUCUUUUCUGCU
This 983-nucleotide ribosomal RNA is filed under the name Corynebacterium aurimucosum ATCC 700975. RNAcentral describes it as "Bacterial small subunit ribosomal RNA". It matches the Rfam family "Bacterial small subunit ribosomal RNA", at positions 1 to 1283 of the family's 1533-position model. Lineage: Bacteria; Bacillati; Actinomycetota; Actinomycetes; Mycobacteriales; Corynebacteriaceae. The record is from Rfam by way of RNAcentral.